CAAGGAAUUUUCGUCAAUGGGCGCAAGCCUGAACGAGCAACGCCGCGUGGAGGAUGACGGCCUUCGGGUUGUAAACUCCUUUUGGGGGGGACGAUGAUGACGGUACCCUCCGAAUCAGCCCCGGCUAACUCUGUGCCAGCAGCCGCGGUAAGACAGAGGGGGCAAGCGUUGUCCGGAAUUACUGGGCGUACAGCGCACGCAGGUGGCCAGGCAAGUGAGUGGUGAAAGCCCCGCGCUCAACGCGGGGAGGCCCAUUCAGACUGCCCGGCUUGAGGGAUGCAGAGGGUCGCGGAAUUGCCGGUGUAGUGGUGAAAUGCGUAGAGAUCGGCAGGAACACCAAGGCCGAAGGGAGCGACCUGGGCAUCACCUGACACUCAGGUGCGACAGCGUGGGGAGCCAA
This 400-nucleotide ribosomal RNA is filed under the name uncultured bacterium. RNAcentral's name for it is "bacterial SSU rRNA". It matches the Rfam family "Bacterial small subunit ribosomal RNA", at positions 355 to 772 of the family's 1533-position model. The record is from RNAcentral.